GGCAGACUAACUGCUGUACCAAGUUUGUCCUCCUGUUCUCACCGUAGCUCCUCUCCUAUCGGUCACGCCCUCCAGUUAGCUUGCAGGUGGCUAUGUACUCAUUAGCGUCAAUGGCACUUUCUAUAAGACCGGCACCGGAGGUGGGCUAGUAAGUGAUCCCUAGGCUCCGUACGUCCUCCCUACACUGUGUUCGCUGUGCUGUCACCUAUGAAAGGUAUUUGGCUGUGUACCAGACGCUUCCGGGUAGUGUUUUGUUGAUCUACCGAAGGUCUUGACUGAAAAGACGCCGUGUACGCGCAGGUUGCACUUUCUAUUGGGAGAUGCGUUAAGGUUUGCGUACUGGAGAGAUACCAGGGAGUCCCAUUUCCAUUCAUGUUGAGUGCUGUAUUCCUAGAGGUAAAAGGAAACCGUGUUGUAUUGUAUCUGUAUUGGUUUAGGCUGUAUUUACCAUAAACAAUGGAUUUUAACUGUGUUUGUUUACUCCUUUAGAAAGAUUGCCACUGCUGCUUUGCCUCCUGUAGAUUUAAGUAAUUGUAGCUCUUGCCUCAUUUUGUUUUCUUUAUUUUGUUUUGUUUGUCCGAUUGAUUUGGCCUAAACAUAGGCGUGGCUGGUUUCAUUUAUUUGCCCUCCGUCGUGGUGUGUCGGCAACAGGUGUGGUAUUGGCUGCCCCAGUAUUUUGCUGCGGUAAUGUGUGAUGGUAGUAAUGCUAACAUCUAGCUUUCUUGACCCAGCCAGUUAUUGCCAAUAGCAACCAUAUCUUCCCUUCUCCCCUCCAGAGAAACAGAGUGUUGCAGCUGUUCCGCGGGGCAGGUCGCCGGAUCUGAGUCCUCCUCUUCGUGUACUUCACACAGUAUUUGUAGUGGUAACGUGCACCUCACUAUUUGCAGUGAUCACUCCUUGUAGUACCUGUGCCUAUGCGAGCGUGUGUGUGUGUGUGUGUGUGUCUGUGAAUAGGCAACAGAAUCCGCAGCACGGGUGGUGUGUCGGUCUCACUCCUCUUCCAGGACAGGUAACCGCUCCCGAACAGCUGAUCAAAUUAACCCUACUUGAUUACAUGUAAUAUUCCUGGUGGCAGCCACUACCUUCCUCUUGCUGGCCUAUUGGGCCUAAUAUGUACUGCACUCCAUCCUGAGAAUCAAACCCAAGACUGACUUUUUAACUGAAUUGCUUGUGAAUAAAUAUUGUUUAUUUUUUCAUUGAAAUACCACGUCUCUGUCAUUACUGGCUUAUCUGUGUGCGAGAGCCCUCUUGUCUAAAUCAAGGUGUUGGAGGUCUAGCUAAAAUACAUCUUGGUGUGAAAGGCCCCAAGUGGCGUAGUCGAGCACUCUAUAGUCAAGACUCUUGUCAUCUGACU
Long non-coding RNA from Alosa sapidissima (American shad), 1354 nucleotides. RefSeq lists it as uncharacterized. NCBI's taxonomy places the organism in Eukaryota, Metazoa, Chordata, Actinopteri, Clupeiformes, Clupeidae. The record is from RefSeq and is a predicted model, not a curated record. The transcript is spliced from 4 exons.